UUUUUACCCAUUUGAGUUUUAGGAAUUUGAAACCAAUAGGGUUUUGAGCAUAAAAAGGGUUUAUUGCAUUAUUAAGCGACCCCAUAUUUUUGGUGUUUAAAUUUGGGUACAAAAGCUAUAUGGUUUAUUAUUUAUAAAGCCCUAAAGGCAAUCUUAUAAGCAAAACUAUUUUUAAAUAUUUUGUUUUGAGGGGAAAUCAGUACCAAAAGUUGAAUCAUAUUAUAAUAUGAUUUUACAAAUUUUCUGAGAUUUAUUUGAAUUGAUUUGGAGUUCAAAAUCAAAAGCUAUAAGGGAAAAACAGAAAAAAGAAAAAGGGAAAAGAAAAAGGGAAAAAAAAGAGAAUCGGACCGGCCCAACUGGGCCGGCCCACUUACCUCGCGCGCCCACAGCCCAGCACGCAUGCGCGGGCCCGAGCCGCUGACAGGCGGGCCCCGCCUGUCGGACUCGUCUUCUCCGGAAGGCAAGCCCGCAGAAUCCCCGCACGUGACGGCCGCGCGCCAUCGCCGGGAUUCUUCACUUCCCGUGCUCCCCGCGAGAUGCCCUGUGCAUCCUAUAAAGCCCCGGACCCCCUCUCUCUAUUCCCCCUUCUCGCCGUCCCUAUUGCGCCCCCAGACCGUCGAAAUUUCUCGCCAGACUUUGCUUUUGCCGCUGCCAAGUCUUGCACGCCGCCGGCGACCGAAUAGGUAAUCGACGCCGCCGUUUGCGCCAUCUUCUCCCCCUCUCCUUUGCGCGGUUUGUGACGCGCUCCGUUUUGUUUAUGGUGC
Molecule: long non-coding RNA, 764 nt
Filed under: Brachypodium distachyon (stiff brome)
Lineage: Eukaryota; Viridiplantae; Streptophyta; Magnoliopsida; Poales; Poaceae
Description: long non-coding RNA (BDIS_LNC002404)
Source: RNAcentral